This 442-nucleotide ribosomal RNA is filed under the name Colletotrichum gloeosporioides. RNAcentral's name for it is "eukaryotic LSU rRNA". The stretch from base 64 to 218 matches the Rfam family "5.8S ribosomal RNA". The record is from RNAcentral. Lineage: Eukaryota; Fungi; Ascomycota; Sordariomycetes; Glomerellales; Glomerellaceae.
CUGCGCGGGAGUACAAACUCUGAUUUACGACGUUUCUUCUGAGUGGUACAAGCAAAUAAUCAAAACUUUUAACAACGGAUCUCUUGGUUCUGGCAUCGAUGAAGAACGCAGCGAAAUGCGAUAAGUAAUGUGAAUUGCAGAAUUCAGUGAAUCAUCGAAUCUUUGAACGCCACAUUGCGCCCGCCAGCAUUCUGGCGGGCAUGCCUGUUCGAGCGUCAUUUCAACCCUCAAGCUCUGCUUGGUGUUGGGGCCCUACAGCUGAUGUAGGCCCUCAAAGGUAGUGGCGGACCCUCCCGGAGCCUCCUUUGCGUAGUAACCUUACGUCUCGCACUGGGAUCCGGAGGGACUCUUGCCGUAAAACCCCCAAUUUUCCAAAGGUUGACCUCGGAUCAGGUAGGAAUACCCGCUGAACUUAAGCAUAUCUAAGGAGGGGGGAGAAAAA